UUCCCCGUGGGUUGCUGGCAUCCCAGUGAGACUCUGAAUCUCAUGUACCUAGGUUCGAUUCCUGGCGGGGAAGC
RNAcentral lists this transfer RNA (74 nucleotides) under Streptomyces phage Tomas. RNAcentral's name for it is "tRNA-Gln". It matches the Rfam family "tRNA". Rfam says of the family: Transfer RNA (tRNA) molecules are approximately 80 nucleotides in length. The record is from RNAcentral. Lineage: Duplodnaviria; Heunggongvirae; Uroviricota; Caudoviricetes; Stanwilliamsviridae.